CGUGGCGUCGCUGGAGGCUACUCAGGCGCGGGACUCGUUCUCGAGGCGGGAGCUGAGGUGCGGGGUGGGGCCUCCAACCGUGCAGCCCGCCCCUGACGCCGCCGGUAACUGCGACAGUCGGGGUCGGUGCGGUUUGCUAAGUGGUCGGUUCCUGGAGCUGCGGUCUUCUGCUAGCCUGAUCCGCAGCUUCAGCCUCCGCCGCCUCCUCAGCCCUCGGCGCCGCCGCCUGACCCGCAGGCCGCCGCGGGCCGCAGAGCCCAUGAGGGCGCGGGCACCGCCGCCGCCUCCGCGGCGUCGCCGUCGUCCCGGAGCGCCCCGAGCUGGCGCGGGCAUGGCCGCGGCAUGAGCGUGGAGCCGCCGCCGGAGCUGGAGGAGAAGGCGGCGUCGGAGCCCGAGGCGGGAGCCAUGCCGGAGAAGCGCGCGGGCGCGCAGGCCGCGGGGAGCACCUGGGUUCUACAUGAAACAUUUUCUCAACACACAUUCCUCAUGAAUGGUCUCAUUCAAGGUGUAAAGGGCCUGCUCUCUUUUUUGAGUGCCCCACUCAUUGGUGCCCUGUCUGAUGUGUGGGGGAGGAAGCCCUUUCUCCUCGGCACUGUAUUCUUUACCUGCUUCCCAAUCCCACUGAUGAGGAUCAGCCCAUGGUGAGUGACUUGGCCCUUCACCUCCUGACUGCUUGUUUUGAGUCACAUGUAAAUUAUAUUUGCAGAGCACUUCUUAACUAUUACAAAGCAGUUGUGCUUGUGUUUUCAUUUGAUCUCUCUGGUAAUACUGAAAACCAGUUUGGACAGUUGUCAUUAUAUCCAUUUUAUAAAUGGGGUAGUGAAGACAUUCUAGAAUUAAGUCUGAGAUAAGUUACUUAGGUGAAGAAAUUUUAUUUUUUCACAUUGCUAGAAGAAACAU
Molecule: long non-coding RNA, 900 nt
Organism: Homo sapiens (human)
Lineage: Eukaryota; Metazoa; Chordata; Mammalia; Primates; Hominidae
Gene: MFSD14CP
Product: major facilitator superfamily domain containing 14C, pseudogene
Source: Ensembl